This 497-nucleotide ribosomal RNA is filed under the name uncultured bacterium. Its description in RNAcentral is "partial 16S ribosomal RNA". It matches the Rfam family "Bacterial small subunit ribosomal RNA", at positions 28 to 507 of the family's 1533-position model. The record is from RNAcentral.
GAUGAACGCUGGCGGCGUGCCUAACACAUGCAAGUCGAACGGACGGACGAGAAGCUUUUUGCUCUGAUGGUAGCGGCGGCCGGGUGGGUAAUACGUGGAUAACCACCUUCUAACUCUUGGAGAACAUCGGCAAGACAGUGCUACUACUACAGGAUAUUUUGUACCGGUCGCAUCAAGGGUCUAUGACAGAUUUUGUGUCUGUUAUAGAUGGUCUCGCGUUGCAUCAGCUGGUUGGUGAGGUAACGGCGUACCAAGGCAACGAUGCAUAGCCGACCUGAGAGGAGGAUCGGCCGCAAUAGAACGGAUGAGAGGUCCAGACUCCUACGGGAGGCAGCAGUAGGGAAUCUUCCGGAAUGGUCGGAAGCAUGACGGAGCAGCGACGCGGGAGGGAUGAAGGUCGUCGGAUCGUAGAGCUCUGUUAUUAGGGAAGAAGAUAUGUGGACGUAACUGUGGGUAUCUUGACGGUAGCUAAAUAGAAAGCCACGGCUAACUACGUG